This is a long non-coding RNA of Nicotiana tabacum (common tobacco), 733 nucleotides long. RefSeq lists it as uncharacterized. Lineage: Eukaryota; Viridiplantae; Streptophyta; Magnoliopsida; Solanales; Solanaceae. The record is from RefSeq and is a predicted model, not a curated record.
UAGACCACGCUGGUUAAGAGUUCUCUUUGAGUAUAUAGACAACGCAUUAUAAGUGUUGCCAAUUCAAAUAACAUUUGGCAACACAUACUCACCUAUAUUACAACGUUUUUAGAGCGUCCCAUUUUUUAAUCCUAAAAGCAACCUUUUAUAAGCGCGCUCUAAACUUUUCCAACCAAUAUUUUCAUUAGAAGUUUCCCUCCAUUAUUUUUCCUAAUGAAAUAUUUUCUCCUAUUUUCUAAAAGGAAAAAGGACGCACAGUAAAUAUUUGCCCAUUUUUAAUCCCACACCUCUAUCGAUUUGCUGGGGCUGAAGAAAUUUCUAUUUUUACUGCCGCAUCUUCCACCACCUCCAUUGCCGAUGUUACCGUUGCUUCUACAUUAAUGGUUGAUUAAGUCUUGAAAUGGAGGACAAGGUUUUCAGAGAAUUAGUAAUCUCAAAAUCGGCUAGAGGUCUGCUCCAUAUGGAUUUUGAUGAAUGUGCAACAUCAAAGGAAAGUCUUUGUGAGCAGUUGGAAAUGGUGGCCAAGCGACAAUUUGAUCUAAUGGAAUUUAAUCACCAAGACUUUGGACAAUUAUGAUUUUUGUUAUUUCUGAUACUAUAAUAAUACAUUUGCUUUUUAUAAAGUUAAUUGCUAGCAUGCCCCUUGUGACAAUUUUCUUUAUGUUGAUGUAUUACACGAGGUUUACUCCUUGUUUGAAGUACAUUGCAAGUUUAUGCAUUUGAAUUAUUCUUU